AACUGAAGGGGGCACACGGAGUUGAAUCAUGGACUAUCGAUCUGCAGUCGAUUGCUCUACCACUGAGCUUAACCCCAGU
Caligus rogercresseyi is the source of this 79-nucleotide non-coding RNA. NCBI's taxonomy places the organism in Eukaryota, Metazoa, Arthropoda, Copepoda, Siphonostomatoida, Caligidae. The record is from the annotation of a GenBank genome assembly.